CAGAGGGUGCGAGCGUUGUUCGGAAUUAUUGGGCGUAAAGCGCGUGUAGGCGGCUUUGCAAGUCGGGUGUGAAAGCCCUCAGCUUAACUGAGGAAGUGCGCCCGAAACUGCCGAGCUUGAGUACCGGAGAGGAUGGUGGAAUUCCCCAAGUAGAGGUGAAAUUCGUAGAUAUGGGGAGGAACACCGGUGGCGAAGGCGACCAUCUGGACGGAUACUGACGCUGAGACGCGAAAGCGUGGGUAGCAAACAGGAUUAGAUACCCUGGUAGUCCACGCCGUAAACGAUGAGAACUAGGUGUUGUGGGAGUUGACCCCGCGGUGCCGAAGCUAACGCAUUAAGUUCUCCGCCUGGGAAGUACGGCCGCAAGGCUA
This 371-nucleotide ribosomal RNA is filed under the name uncultured organism. RNAcentral's name for it is "bacterial SSU rRNA". It matches the Rfam family "Bacterial small subunit ribosomal RNA", at positions 526 to 896 of the family's 1533-position model. The record is from RNAcentral.